RNAcentral lists this ribosomal RNA (414 nucleotides) under Salmonella enterica subsp. arizonae. Its description in RNAcentral is "bacterial SSU rRNA". It matches the Rfam family "Bacterial small subunit ribosomal RNA", at positions 1108 to 1522 of the family's 1533-position model. Lineage: Bacteria; Pseudomonadati; Pseudomonadota; Gammaproteobacteria; Enterobacterales; Enterobacteriaceae. The record is from RNAcentral.
UCCUUUGUUGCCAGCGGUCCGGCCGGGAACUCAAAGGAGACUGCCAGUGAUAAACUGGAGGAAGGUGGGGAUGACGUCAAGUCAUCAUGGCCCUUACGACCAGGGCUACACACGUGCUACAAUGGCGCAUACAAAGAGAAGCGACCUCGCGAGAGCAAGCGGACCUCAUAAAGUGCGUCGUAGUCCGGACUGGAGUCUGCAACUCGACUCCAUGAAGUCGGAAUCGCUAGUAAUCGUGGAUCAGAAUGCCACGGUGAAUACGUUCCCGGGCCUUGUACACACCGCCCGUCACACCAUGGGAGUGGGUUGCAAAAGAAGUAGGUAGCUUAACCUUCGGGAGGGCGCUUACCACUUUGUGAUUCAUGACUGGGGUGAAGUCGUAACAAGGUAACCGUAGGGGAACCUGCGGUUGGA